GUAAGUGUUUGUGUCUUUUUCUAAAAAUCAUUUUCAGUCUUUUAGGUAACAAGUUUCAGUUGUCAUGGUUACAGUUUGGUUAACAUCCACCCACAAAAAUGUUUGAACAGAAAAACUGUUUCAAAACUGAGUGAGACUUCAUUUAAAAUGUAAUUUCCUUUCUAGUGGACGUUAAACCUGUAAAUCCUGAACCAUGAAAUCAUUGCUCGAUAAUUCAAAUUUUAUUGGUCCAACGCAUCAAACGUGACUCCAACGUCACUUCCGUACGAGACGUUGCAUCCUGUAAGUGUGGAGUUUGACCGAGCGGCUGAACGACAGAUCGGUUCUAACAGUCAGUGACUUUCAGCUUUAUUUAAACCUUAAAUUUAAUCUUGUGUCGUCAGAUUUAAACUCAGGUUCAGUUAUUGAGUGAAAAUACCAACAGACUCAGACAUUUAGGACAAACUAAGAGUCAGAUGAGCAGAAACAGAGAACACGGACAUGUCUGCUGUAACUGCGUCACUCUGCUCCACUUUGCUGAUGUUCGAUGGAGUCUUCAUGUUUGUCUCUGCAGAUUUUCCACCCUGAUGACCACAGAGGCCUUUGAGGCUUCCAGACGUCCUUCACAACAACACACUGGAUGAACUGGUGAUUUACACAGGCUACUGGUUUUGUAAACUGGUGCAGGCUGCUGCUGGUUCUCAGACCAGGAAAUCAUCACAGCUGAGUCUGGACAGAACGUCACUCUGACAUGUCGAGCUUCAAACAACAUUAUAGCAGUAAACUGGAGCAGAGCUGACCUGGGAAC
This is a long non-coding RNA of Oreochromis aureus, 787 nucleotides long. The record is from Ensembl. Lineage: Eukaryota; Metazoa; Chordata; Actinopteri; Cichliformes; Cichlidae.